RNAcentral lists this ribosomal RNA (484 nucleotides) under uncultured bacterium. Its description in RNAcentral is "partial 16S ribosomal RNA". It matches the Rfam family "Bacterial small subunit ribosomal RNA", at positions 30 to 507 of the family's 1533-position model. The record is from RNAcentral.
AUUGAACGCUGGCGGCAGGCCUAACACAUGCAAGUCGAGCGGAUGAAGGGAGCUUGCUCCUGGAUUCAGCGGCGGACGGGCGAGUAAUGCCUAGGAAUCUGCCUGGUAGUGGGGGAUAACGUCCGGAAACGGGCGCUAAUACCGCAUACGUCCUGAGGGAGAAAGUGGGGGAUCUUCGGACCUCACGCUAUCAGAUGAGCCUAGGUCGGAUUAGCUAGUUGGUGGGGUAAAGGCCUACCAAGGCGACGAUCCGUAACUGGUCUGAGAGGAUGAUCAGUCAGACUGGAACUGAGACAGGGUCCAGACUCCUACGGGAGGCAGCAGUGGGGAAUACUGGACAAUGGGCGAAAGACUGAUCUAGCCAUGCCGCGUGUGUGAAGAAGGUCUUCGGAUUGUAAAGCACUGUAAGUUGGGAGGAAGGGCAGUAAGUUAAUACCUUGCUGUUUUGACGUUACCAACAGAAUAAGCACCGGCUAACUUCGUG